This 26-nucleotide non-coding RNA is filed under the name Homo sapiens (human). Lineage: Eukaryota; Metazoa; Chordata; Mammalia; Primates; Hominidae. The record is from RNAcentral.
UGCCUUGUGGGGAAUGUUUCCCAUCU